UGCCUGAUAGUAUAACGGUAGUACAAGCGACUCUGACUCGCUUUGUCUUGGUUCGAAUCCAGGUCAGGCAACGA
This 74-nucleotide transfer RNA is filed under the name Chitinophaga sp. CF418. RNAcentral's name for it is "tRNA_Gln_CTG". It matches the Rfam family "tRNA". From Rfam's summary of the family: Transfer RNA (tRNA) molecules are approximately 80 nucleotides in length. Lineage: Bacteria; Pseudomonadati; Bacteroidota; Chitinophagia; Chitinophagales; Chitinophagaceae. The record is from RNAcentral.